RNAcentral lists this long non-coding RNA (1080 nucleotides) under Homo sapiens (human). RNAcentral's name for it is "HSALNT0085615". The record is from RNAcentral. Lineage: Eukaryota; Metazoa; Chordata; Mammalia; Primates; Hominidae.
CUUUAGAGUCCUGGAGGCCACUAAAAACAAAAGAGAAAAGCUUGCCCCUGCUCCAGGCAACCAACACAUGGUAUGGUCAGCAGAUUAUGGUACAGCUCAGUGGCUUAUGUCUUAGGAGUCAAAAAGAAGAGUGGAACAGUGGUCCACGUUCUGGCUCUUCAGGAGGCUUCCCAAGGGACUGAUUUCUGCCUCAUGUGAUGCAGAACCCUGAAGAGAUACUGCAUAAUCUAGAAGUCUGGAAGGACCUGAGGUCAUAAUAAAACUGGGAAGCUUGAGGCAGCUCGAUAGAACCUGCACUACCCCAAACAGACACCAGAAAGGACAAGAGAUUAUUAAACCCUUGAAAAAAGAAACUGACAAACCCCUCUAACUGGGAAUUUAUAUGCACAAUUUAGAAAAGACACAUCUGCAGAAAAUGUUUGAGUAUGUACCAAAAUCUCCAGCCCAGCUGACUAGUGAAGGUGUUUCCAUGGAUAAAACCCAUCCAUAAAAACAAGAUAAAUGGCUACUUUUUCAAAUAUGAAGUUCCCAACACAAAGUUACAAGGCACACAAAAAGAAGCAAAGAAACAUAGUCCUAUCAAAUAAACAAAACAAAUCUCCAGAAAGUGAUCCUAAAGAAACAGAGGUGUAUGAAUUACCUGAUAGUUCAUUAAAAUAGUCAUAAUAAAGAUCAUCAACAAGCCAAGGAAAACAAUAGAUGGACUGAGAUUUCAGGUGCUAAUCUUGUGGCUGGAGACAAUUAGUGGUGUUCUAUGUGGACUAAACCUUACUAGCUUGAAUAUAAAAAUAAUAAUAAUGGAAGGUAGCAUGUUAUUUUGUAUACAUUUUUUGAAAGAAACAUUGAAAUUUGGACAAAUUAAGCAGCCCUUCUUAUCUUCAUUUUGACAAAGUGUUGCUGUAAACCAUGUAUAACAGCUUGCAGGAGCAUAGGCUACUUUGUACAAACAUUAGAAGUACUGAAAAAUAGGCCAGGCACGGUGGCUCACGCCUGUAUUCCCAGCCCUUUGGGAGGCUGAGGCAGGCAGAUCGCCUGAACUCAGGCAUUGGAAACCAGAGUGGGCAACACGGUGAAACCCUG